This 484-nucleotide non-coding RNA is filed under the name Pongo abelii (Sumatran orangutan). Lineage: Eukaryota; Metazoa; Chordata; Mammalia; Primates; Hominidae. The record is from RNAcentral.
AUGGUAACCCAGUAGCCCAAAAGACAAAGUCCUUCUCAACAAAGCCUAACCAGCAGGAAAUGGAUUACAGUGAUUCAGAGGAAAGAUAAGAAGGUUCCUUUGUCUUGGACCUCCAUUAGACAUCAAGGAAAAACACCAAAAAAGUAAACAACAAAGGCCCCACACCUUUCCAAACUACAACCCAAAAUAAGUUGAUCUGAGAAACAAAUUGCAAUGCCACAUGCAAAGCAGAUGUGUCCAAAUUCAUGUAGGACCAGACACAUCCUGAACCUUUAAAUGCAACAGCUGUUCAAGACUUUCUUCAAAAUCAUCCAAGCACAAGGGUUGAUAAAAUGCACACAAAAUGGGUAUUUGACACCCUGGAUUCCAUGCAGGUUUGGCAGUAACCAGGGAGAAUUAGAACCCGAAGCUAGAUUUCGAAAUAGAGCUCUGGACUGAAGCAUUCUUGCACAACCAUCCCACAGACGCCUUCCGGUCUUGCUCC